RNAcentral lists this ribosomal RNA (253 nucleotides) under uncultured bacterium. RNAcentral describes it as "partial 16S ribosomal RNA". It matches the Rfam family "Bacterial small subunit ribosomal RNA", at positions 524 to 776 of the family's 1533-position model. The record is from RNAcentral.
UACGAAAGGGGCUAGCGUUGUUCGGAAUUACUGGGCGUAAAGCGCACGUAGGCGGCCUUGUAAGAUGGGGGUGAAAUCCCUGGGCUCAACCCAGGAACUGCCUUCAUGACUGCAAAGCUUGAGAAUGUGAGAGGUUGGCGGAAUUCCGAGUGUAGAGGUGAAAUUCGUAGAUAUUCGGAAGAACACCAGUGGCGAAGGCGGCCAACUGGCACAUUUCUGACGCUGAGGUGCGAAAGCGUGGGGAGCAAACAGG